RNAcentral lists this microRNA precursor (96 nucleotides) under Carica papaya (papaya). RNAcentral's name for it is "miR394b stem-loop (cpa-MIR394b)". Its record names the gene cpa-MIR394b. The record is from miRBase by way of RNAcentral. Lineage: Eukaryota; Viridiplantae; Streptophyta; Magnoliopsida; Brassicales; Caricaceae.
UUGGCAUUCUGUCCACCUCCACUGCGCAUCGACCAAUUCAAAAAAAAAAAAAAAAAAAAAAAGGUACAAGGAAAGGAGGUGGGCAUACUGUCAACA